Non-coding RNA from Salmo salar (Atlantic salmon), 55 nucleotides. NCBI's taxonomy places the organism in Eukaryota, Metazoa, Chordata, Actinopteri, Salmoniformes, Salmonidae. The record is from Rfam.
UGCAUUCACUACUGUAAGUCACUCUGGAUAAGAGGCGUCUGCUAAAUGACUAAAA